GACGAACGCUGGCGGCGUGCUUAACACAUGCAAGUCGAACGGAAGGGCCCUGCUUUUGUGGGGUGCUCGAGUGGCGAACGGGUGAGUAACACGUGAGUAACCUGCCCUUGACUUUGGGAUAACUUCAGGAAACUGGGGCUAAUACCGGAUAGGAGCUCCUGCUGCAUGGUGGGGGUUGGAAAGUUUCGGCGGUUGGGGAUGGACUCGCGGCUUAUCAGCUUGUUGGUGGGGUAGUGGCUUACCAAGGCUUUGACGGGUAGCCGGCCUGAGAGGGUGACCGGCCACAUUGGGACUGAGAUACGACACAGACUCCUAUGGGAGGCAGGAGUGGGGAAUAUUGCACAAUGGGCGGAAGCAUGAUGCAGCCAAGCCGCGUGGGGGAUGACGGCCAUCGGGUUGUAAACCGCUUUCGCCUGUGACGAAGCGUGAGUGACGGUAAUGGGUAAAGAAGCACCGGCUAACUACGUG
Molecule: ribosomal RNA, 468 nt
Filed under: uncultured bacterium
Lineage: Bacteria
Description: partial 16S ribosomal RNA
Rfam family: Bacterial small subunit ribosomal RNA
Source: RNAcentral